Molecule: ribosomal RNA, 230 nt
Filed under: uncultured bacterium
Lineage: Bacteria
Description: partial 16S ribosomal RNA
Rfam family: Bacterial small subunit ribosomal RNA
Source: RNAcentral
AAAGGGAGCGUAGGCGGCGCGGUAAGUCGGAUGUGAAAUCCCGGGGCUCAACCCCGGAACUGCAUCUGAUACUGCCGUGCUAGAGUAAUGGAGGGGUAGCUGGAAUUCUCGGUGUAGCAGUGAAAUGCGUAGAUAUCGAGAGGAACACUCGUGGCGAAAGCGAGCUACUGGACAUUUACUGACGCUGAGGCUCGAAGGCUAGGGGAGCGAAAGGGAUUAGAUACCCCUGU